This 924-nucleotide ribosomal RNA is filed under the name uncultured bacterium. Its description in RNAcentral is "bacterial SSU rRNA". It matches the Rfam family "Bacterial small subunit ribosomal RNA", at positions 72 to 990 of the family's 1533-position model. The record is from RNAcentral.
CGGGUCCUUCGGGAUGCCGGCGAGUGGCGAACGGGUGAGUAAUGCAUCGGAGCGUGCCCAGUCGUGGGGGAUAACGUAGCGAAAGUUACGCUAAUACCGCAUACGACCUGAGGGUGAAAGCAGGGGACCGCAAGGCCUUGUGCGAUUGGAGCGGCCGAUGUCAGAUUAGCUAGUUGGUGGGGUAAAGGCCUACCAAGGCGACGAUCUGUAGCGGGUCUGGGAGGAUGAUCCGCCACACUGGGACUGAGACACGGCCCAGACUCCUACGGGAGGCAGCAGUGGGGAAUUUUGGACAAUGGGCGCAAGCCUGAUCCAGCCAUGCCGCGUGCGGGAAGAAGGCCUUCGGGUUGUAAACCGCUUUCGGACGGAAAGAAAUCGCCAUCGCUAAUACCGGUGGUGGAUGACGGUACCGUAAGAAGAAGCACCGGCUAACUACGUGCCAGCAGCCGCGGUAAUACGUAGGGUGCGAGCGUUAAUCGGAAUUACUGGGCGUAAAGCGUGCGCAGGCGGUUUCUUAAGCCAGAUGUGAAAUCCCCGGGCUUAACCUGGGAACUGCAUUUGGAACUGGGAGACUAGAGUGCGUCAGAGGGGGGUGGAAUUCCACGUGUAGCAGUGAAAUGCGUAGAGAUGUGGAGGAACACCGAUGGCGAAGGCAGCCCCCUGGGAUGACACUGACGCCCAUGCACGAAAGCGUGGGGAGCAAACAGGAUUAGAUACCCUGGUAGUCCACGCCCUAAACGAUGUCAACUGGUUGUUGGGGGAGCAAUCUCUUAGUAACGAAGCUAACGCGUGAAGUUGACCGCCUGGGGAGUACGGCCGCAAGGUUGAAACUCAAAAGGAAUUGACGGGGGGCCCGCACAAGCGGUGGAUGAUGUGGAUUAAUUCGAUGCAACGCGAAGAACCUUACCUACCCUUUGACAUGCC